RNAcentral lists this ribosomal RNA (483 nucleotides) under uncultured bacterium. RNAcentral's name for it is "partial 16S ribosomal RNA". It matches the Rfam family "Bacterial small subunit ribosomal RNA", at positions 28 to 507 of the family's 1533-position model. The record is from RNAcentral.
GAUGAACGCUAGCGGCAGGCCUAAUACAUGCAAGCCGAACGGCAAGUUUGAUAGCAUUAUUGGACCUAGAGUGGCGCAAGGGUGCGUAACACGUAUGCAACCUGCCCGCGACAGGAGGAUAGCUCCCCGAAAGGGGAAUUAACCCCCCAUAACACCAUGAGAAGGCAUCUGAUUAUGGUUAAACCGCAAGGGGUCGCGGAUGGGCAUGCGGUUGAUUAGCUAGUUGGCGGGGUAAAGGCGCACCAAGGCGGUGAUCAAAAGGGGUUCUGAGAGGAAGGGCCCGCAAGCGGGAACUGAGAUACGGGCCAGAAUCCUACGGGAAGAAGCAGUAGGGAAGAAGGGACAGGGGAUGCAAGACUGAGCCAGCCAGGCCGCGGGAAGGAAGAAGGCCGUCUGGGUCGGAAACUGGUUUUUUAAAUGGAUAAAAUACGCGAGGGCGGGGAAUUGAAGGUAACAGGGGAAUAAGCAACGGCUAACUACGUG